This 413-nucleotide ribosomal RNA is filed under the name uncultured microorganism. Its description in RNAcentral is "bacterial SSU rRNA". It matches the Rfam family "Archaeal small subunit ribosomal RNA", at positions 330 to 745 of the family's 1478-position model. The record is from RNAcentral.
GUGCAGCAGGCGAGAAUACUCCACAAUGCGCGAAAGCGCGAUGGGGCUAUCCCGAGUGCCGUCCGCUGAGGAUGGCUUUUCUCCAGUGUAAGGAGCUGGAGGAAUAAGGAGAGGGCAAGUCUGGUGUCAGCCGCCGCGGUAAUACCAGCUCUCCGAGUGGUAGGGACGUUUAUUGGGCUUAAAGCGCCCGUAGCCGGCUCAGCAAGUCCUCCGUUAAAUCCAGCGAUUCAAUCGUUGGACUGCGGGGGAUACUGCUGGGCUAGGGGACGGGAGAGGCCGACGGUAUUCCCGGAGUAGGGGUGAAAUCCUAUAAUUCCGGGAGGACCACCAGUGGCGAAGGCUGUCGGCUAGAACGAGCUCGACGGUGAGGGACGAAAGCUGGGGGAGCGAACCGGAUUAGAUACCCGGGUAGU